RNAcentral lists this ribosomal RNA (252 nucleotides) under uncultured bacterium. Its description in RNAcentral is "partial 16S ribosomal RNA". It matches the Rfam family "Bacterial small subunit ribosomal RNA", at positions 524 to 776 of the family's 1533-position model. The record is from RNAcentral.
UACAGAGGGUGCGAGCGUUGUUCGGAAUUAUUGGGCGUAAAGGGCGCGUAGGCGGUGCGGUAAGUCACCUGUGAAAUCUCCUGGCUCAACUGGGAGUCUGCAGGCGAAACUGCCGUGCUGGAGUAUGGGAGAGGUGCGUGGAAUUCCUGGUGUAGCGGUGAAAUGCGUAGAUAUCAGGAGGAACACCUGUGGCGAAGCGGGUUGCUGGGCUGACACUGACGCUGAACUGCGAAAGCUAGGGGAGCGAACGGG